AACAGGAUUAGAUACCCUGGUAGUCCACGCCGUAAACGAUGUCGACUUGGAGGUUGUGCCCUUGAGGCGUGGCUUCCGGAGCUAACGCGUUAAGUCGACCGCCUGGGGAGUACGGCCGCAAGGUUAAAACUCAAAUGAAUUGACGGGGGCCCGCACAAGCGGUGGAGCAUGUGGUUUAAUUCGAUGCAACGCGAAGAACCUUACCUACUCUUGACAUCCAGAGAACUUAGCAGAGAUGCUUUGGUGCCUUCGGGAACUCUGAGACAGGUGCUGCAUGGCUGUCGUCAGCUCGUGUUGUGAAAUGUUGGGUUAAGUCCCGCAACGAGCGCAACCCUUAUCCUUUGUUGCCAGCGGUUAGGCCGGGAACUCAAAGGAGACUGCCAGUGAUAAACUGGAGGAAGGUGGGGAUGACGUCAAGUCAUCAUGGCCCUUACGAGUAGGGCUACACACGUGCUACAAUGGCAUAUACAAAGAGAAGCGACCUCGCGAGAGCAAGCGGACCUCAUAAAGUAUGUCGUAG
RNAcentral lists this ribosomal RNA (520 nucleotides) under uncultured Citrobacter sp. RNAcentral's name for it is "bacterial SSU rRNA". It matches the Rfam family "Bacterial small subunit ribosomal RNA", at positions 771 to 1291 of the family's 1533-position model. The record is from RNAcentral. Lineage: Bacteria; Pseudomonadati; Pseudomonadota; Gammaproteobacteria; Enterobacterales; Enterobacteriaceae.